This 1351-nucleotide long non-coding RNA is filed under the name Capsella grandiflora. RNAcentral's name for it is "long non-coding RNA (CGRA_LNC001790)". The record is from RNAcentral. Lineage: Eukaryota; Viridiplantae; Streptophyta; Magnoliopsida; Brassicales; Brassicaceae.
UUAAAUAUAAAAGUACAAGACAUGCUCGAACCUAAAACGAAAGAGGACGAACUCUUGUAAGGAAACAAAAGCAACUAGGCCUAAACCAAAGUAAAACAUACUAGUCUAAGAGAAGCAAGAUAAACUCUUCAAACGAAGCACCUGCGACUGAGAUUUACCAAGGAUGCCCACGGCCAAUCCGAAGAUAACAUCUACCACCUCCUAUCAUGAUGAGAGCUGAUCUCUCGAAACCAUAACCAAGAACUUCAUAACCCGGCAAGCAAAGACCACUUGAAGAAACUCGAACACGCUUCCGGAUGCGACGACGACGACUGCUGCGCCCAAUUACGUCUAAAUAAAAGCCUUCAAAACGCUAUCAGAUCUAAACAGAUCUGCAAAGCAUGUACAAGGAGCGAAGCAUAGCCUCUCGACUAAACCCAAACUCGAAAGAGCACGAAGAUGGAACGAGACCGCUAUCAACAACAGCGAACAAACCAAUGAAGAGCCAACUGCUCACAUAUAAGACUAGCAAUUCUUCAAUCAACACGAAGCCUAUGCUUAGUAAGAGAACGAACCAUCUGAGAAACAAGGGUUGAGAAGAGGAGAAAAUGGACGCAGGGACAAGCAAAGGUUGGGCCAAAACUCAACAACCACAACCACUCAAACUCAACGGCAUAAAGAAGAAGAUAACCACAAGAACAGCAACAAAGAUCUAGGGCAAGAGCAAGCAAAACACAAUGGCAUUAUUAUUCAAGCAGUACCGUCAAUCAAGAAGACCCGGAACCAUCAUCUUUACAUUGAACCCCAACCCAAAAGAUCACGCCAAUUCAACCGCAACAACAACACACAUCAACUCAAAACUCCAAACAAACCACAAGGUUCCCCAAUCGUAGGCCAAGAUUCUGCAAACACCACUAACCAUAUAACCCUAUCUUGAAAACAAACAAAAUCGAAUCCAUCUAACUCUAGAAACUCGGAGAAGAGGACCGGCGAGAAGACUCGCUUACCGGACAAGAGAAAUGAGACCACGGUCAAAGAUUCAUGAGAAACCAAAUCACAAGAAUCUCAAAGGAACCAAAUCUUACAAGGGAAAAGCAUCCAAGAGAGCUACUUGGAAGCCUAACAACUUCUCUCAAGGGAGAAGCUUGCCGCCGACGAAGUCAACAAGCCUCGGCGUAAAGAUCUCAUUUCUCAGCCACGAAGAAGCUCUUCACCAACGAAAUCUAGGGGCUAAGCGAAUCGAAGGAAGAAAACAACAACCAAUGCGAAGCUAAAGAGCUCUCUCACGGCGACGGCGAUAGGCGCCGGCCACCGGAGAGGGCAAACGCGGAUCUGAAAAAGUUGAGUGGCGGCUGGUUUUUGGAGAGCUUUU